UUGAAAUCUUCAGUUUUAUUUGCGUUUCAUGCCAAUUUUUUUGUUCUGCUUCCUAAUGCAUCUGUGCUUAUUUUAAUAUAACGAUCAUAUUUUAAAACAGAUGCUCGAGAAAGAUGGACUUGUUUAUUCUGAGAUUUAUACACCUCGGCAGGCGCAUGUAGCCGGUUGGACACAUAAACAUGACAUUGUGAGAUCAUCACAGUGAUACUGUGAGGCAGGCAGGGCGGGGACGAUCGGGCCCCUCCUGCAGAUGAGGGGGGCCCUCAGCAACGUCGAGACACCUGCCAGGCAACAGCGUGCAUGGGCAGAGCCAGGAGGCCACCAGCACCUGCUGACAUAUCAUGCUGCCUCUCAGGACACGGAUGAGAGAAGAGAGGAAGGAAACCAGGAUCUUAAAAGACAAAAAGACACCAAGAAUGCUUGUGUGCAGAGGGAAGAUCUUGCAAGGGCACACUGGAGGAGACAGCUAUCUACAAACCAGAGAGAGAGGCCUCAGGAGGCACGAAACCUGCCGACCCCUGCUCUGUGACAUCCAGCCUCCAGAAUUGUCCCUGAGCAACGGGAUGUGACGAGCCCCUGUUAUCCUGGACCUCCCCACUAGUCUCCCGUCUCCAGAACAAUCCGCGUUCCAGCUUCCUCCCGGAAACCACCCAGAUUCAGAGAGAAGAGCUAGGAUCCCCCCGGCACCGGUGAGGAUUGUUUCGGCCGCUGGCGGAGGAGACGAGGGGUAAGACAGAACGGCCAACCUGUGGGUCAGCCUCUCUUGCCAACGGGGGUCCCACCAGCUUCCCGGGCCCUUUGUGCCACUGGGUGCCAGAAAGAGCUGGCGUCACCGCAAAGCCCGGCCGUGACUCAUCCACCUCCCCAACUUCGCUCUUAAAAUGCGCUCUCUGGACUUUUCCAGGAAAGCCUGAGUGGCUCAUUGCAGACACCCAUCAUUAACGUGCCUUUCACGCUUCUUAAUUCCCUCCCGGGCUUUAACAAUCCUUGCAAACACGAGCAGGGGAUUCUUCUCAGAGAAAGACAUUCAUCAUGACCGUACCCAACCUCCGUCUCCAAUGCAGGAAUUACGGCAAUCGCCAGUGGGGAAAGGGAGCCAACAGGUAUUUUUAAAGAGGCUCUAUCCGCUGGAGGAUCGAAAAGAAAAUAUCCCCUUUGAGCAUUUAGUCACACACAUCAAAGGAAACAACACUUUCAAUCUUCAUUUGCAUCGUACAGGCAUUAGAUGUGGUCCAGUUACACUGAGCUCCGCUUGAAAAGGCAGAAGUGCCAGUCCUUUCCAAGCCUUGACGGAGACAGAGAGAAAAUGCAGCCAGGCAAAUAAUAUAUCACCCUGCCAAGGCAUUUUCCAUUUUUAAAAGGACAGAACAAUUUUACAUUAUUUCUGGAGCCUCUUUGCAGCAAAUAUCCCUUGACAUUUAUUCUAGCACCCUGGCCGGCUGGCCUAAAAGCCUGGCUGCUCUCGGCCUGCUGUUCCUGUGCGCUGGGCACCGCGUUCUGCCUCUUGGGCCUGAAGCUCCAGACGUGAGAAGGGCAAGUGGCCCGGGUUUUUGAGCACAGGCAGGAGGAGGUUGGCUCUGCAGGAGGGGCCUGCGAAGGCUCCAGCCUGGUGGCAAGAUCAUGGCGUUUCAGGUCACUCGAAGACAGUGAGUGGAGAACCAGCAUUCAGGGCCCAGAGCCUCCGGGUUGAAACCCCACAAGGCAGGCUUGGGGUUUGUCACAGAUAAAACAAUGAAGUGUGCUUGCACUUGACGGGGAGGCCCCUUGGGGAAGUGGAGAACGGCCACCAGUUCUAGAAUAAUUAGCACCAAAUGACUUCUAGUUAGGGUGACAAAUGAGCACAUUUUCCAGAUCCGGAGAAUCAGGACUGGGCUAUUUAUUAGGGGAAAUUUUCCCAACCGGUUUUCUCUUCAAAAAAAAAAAAAAAACAAAAAACUUUUUUUAAUGUGUAUUUAUUUUUGAGAGAGUUGGAGCACAAGUG
Long non-coding RNA from Herpailurus yagouaroundi (jaguarundi), 1981 nucleotides. RefSeq lists it as uncharacterized. NCBI's taxonomy places the organism in Eukaryota, Metazoa, Chordata, Mammalia, Carnivora, Felidae. The transcript has 4 exons. The record is from RefSeq and is a predicted model, not a curated record.